This is a non-coding RNA of Erinaceus europaeus (western European hedgehog), 361 nucleotides long. Lineage: Eukaryota; Metazoa; Chordata; Mammalia; Eulipotyphla; Erinaceidae. The record is from Rfam.
GGAUGUGAGGUCGAUCUGGCUGCGACAUCUGUUGCCCUAUUGAUUGCCAGGGUUGAUUUGGCUGAUCUGGCUGGCCAGGCCGGUGUCCCCUUCCUCCCUCACUGCUCCAUAUGUGUUCCUCCCAAAGCUGUGUGCUGGUUCGAAGAAGACAGCCUUCCCCAAAUAGAGACAGACGUUCCCUGAAUAGAAACUGGCCGGUCUUUGGUAGAGGGUAUACUAGUAGCUACAUUCUGCUGCUAGAACCUCCAAACAAGCUCUCAAGAAGUUAUGGAAUACUACUCUUUAAUUGAAAUAAUAAAAAGAAAAAAAAAGGUGUGAGCAUAAAGGUUGUUGGUGGCAGUACAGAAGGGUGCAUGCAGGU